This 472-nucleotide ribosomal RNA is filed under the name uncultured bacterium. Its description in RNAcentral is "partial 16S ribosomal RNA". It matches the Rfam family "Bacterial small subunit ribosomal RNA", at positions 28 to 507 of the family's 1533-position model. The record is from RNAcentral.
GACGAACGCUGGCGGCGUGCUUAACACAUGCAAGUCGAACGCUGAAGCUUGGUGCUUGCACUGGGUGGAUGAGUGGCGAACGGGUGAGUAAUACGUGAGUAACCUGCCCUUGACUCUGGGAUAAGCCUGGGAAACUGGGUCUAAUACUGGAUACGACAUGUCACCGCAUGGUGGUGUGUGGAAAGGGUUUUACUGGUUUUGGAUGGGCUCACGGCCUAUCAGCUUGUUGGUGGGGUAAUGGCUCACCAAGGCGACGACGGGUAGCCGGCCUGAGAGGGUGACCGGCCACACUGGGACUGAGACACGGCCCAGACUCCUACGGGAGGCAGCAGUGGGGAAUAUUGCACAAUGGGCGGAAGCCUGAUGCAGCGACGCCGCGUGAGGGAUGACUGCCUUCGGGUUGUAAACCUCUUUCAGCACGGAAGAAGCGAAAGUGACGGUACGUGCAGAAGAAGCGCCGGCUAACUACGUG